Molecule: long non-coding RNA, 2634 nt
Filed under: Sus scrofa (pig)
Lineage: Eukaryota; Metazoa; Chordata; Mammalia; Artiodactyla; Suidae
Description: lncRNA (ENSSSCG00050044705.1)
Source: RNAcentral
GAUGAACUCUUUAUAUUUUAAGGACAUUAACUGUUUGCCUAUCACAGUCAUUCAGAAAGAAUUUUUUCAAAUAAAGAAGAAAACACGUCCAUUUUUAUAGAUGAAUAAACCAAAAACUCAGUGAGAAAGGUGGAUUAUCCAAGGUCACCCAACUGGCAGGUGAUCUAGUUGGGAUUUGAACACAAGUCAUACUGGCUCCAGAAGUCUCAAUCAGAAGAGAAAAAAAAAAAAAAAGAAGAAGAAGAAGAAAGAAGAGGAAGAGGAAGAAAAGGAGGAGCGUGGAAAUGCUUAUAAUUUCAUCUUGGCAGUCAACUUCACUGUAGAAAAUGGAUGGAAACUUGAAGGUUGUGAAGCCUUUGUAAAAGCAAGGAUGGAAGGGUAGAGAAGCCACCAUAUCCAUGGAGGUGGGGAGAUGAAGUUCUUCAGGAUCGACAGAAAAGGGUGAAAAGCCCUGGAAAUUGUAAUUUUACAGGUAACCUUAAGAGAACAAUCUUUCAGUUUUUAAUUUCUUUAAAAGACCAUUAUCUAAAGCAACAACAGCAGUAAUAUAGGGCUUCUAACAUCUCAGGGUAUAAAAUAUAUGAACACAGUAGAACAAAGGAUGGGGGAUGGUAAAAGGGAAUCAUACUGGUUUAAGUUCUUCUAUGUGCUAAGGAUGCAAAUUGUAAUCCCUAGUACAAAUAAUUCAAGAAUAAAAUAGAUUUAGCUAAAAAGUCCCAAAAGUCAGUAAAAUGGAAUAUUAAGAUGUAAGUGAUUAAUCCAAAAGAGGGCCAAAAAAAGGAACAAGGAACCAAGGGGACAAAUAGAAAAUAAAUGACAGUACUUAUUAAUUGUAAUAUUAUCCACAAAGGGGAGGAAGGGAAGGGAAGAAAGUAGAUCUCUCUAAGGUCUUUCCCAGCUUUUGGUGUCCACACCACUGGUUUUAGUCCACACUCCCCUGUCUGCAUCUACUAGUGGAACUGAGGCAUCAUCAAGUUUUCUUAACAUCAGAGCUGGGAUGAGAGUGGGGUCAGCUGGUUCCUGGGUCUAAUCAUGGGCCCGUCAGGUAGAGGAGACCAUGGUUAUGGGUUUGUAAUUAGAGUAGCAAGUUCAGGUAAUGAUUAGGUUUGGAGUCAAAGAUAUUAUUUCUAUUAGUUAGGCCUGGGGUUAAGGCCAACUUAGAGUUGGCAACUGCUUGGAGUUCGUGCUGGAUUUGGUUUAUUGGUCCCAUCUGUAGUGUGGGAGAGGACUGGGCUUCAGGAAUAUUAGAUUGGGUGGGAUGGGCUGAUCCAGCAGGGCCCCUGCAAUCUCUCAGGGCAGUUAUUCACAUCCACUAGGUCUAUUCUUUCCCAUAGUUAAUAAGCUUUUUCUCUUUUAUCAAUGCAAUGCAACAUCCAUUGAUUUAAAAAGCCUUUGAUCACCUGCUAUGUAUCAGGCACCAUUCUAAGUGCUGGGGAUGCAGUGUGAACAAGACAAAAUCCCUGACCCUACCGAGCGGAUGUGCUGAGGGUGAUAAACAAACAUGAAUCCAGAGAAGAGAACCAGGCCAGCAGGUCAGAGUGAUCUGGAAGUCUGGGAAGAUCUUGUGAUUGAUGAGAAGGGACAGCAGGAGCAGAGGCCUGGAGGUGGGCAGAAUGAAGGCAGUGUGGCACCAGAAGUGGGCAGGAAAGGCGAAGAAGCACAGCUGUGCCAGGUAAGUCUCCUGGGCUGGAUUCCGGGGGAAGGUAGAAACAAGGGCGUGGCAGAGUCUCCCUUGAGAUCUAAAAGACAACUCUGGCUGCUGUGUGGAGAAUAGCCUGGAGCAGUGACAAGAAAACAAACAAACAAAAUGAAACAAAGGGCUAUGAGAUAGGAGCCCUGGAUUCCUCAGGGUGCUGUGUGAGAUCUCAGCUACUUCUUCGCUUAGGCUCUCUUCUGGCUGGCUGUCUGUAAAAUGCCAAGAGUGGGCUCUAUGCCACUUUAGUUAUAGAGACAUAGAGUCAGUGCUAGAUCAUUUUGAAAAGCUGCCCUUAGAGAACAAGGGCUCUAUGAAAGCAAAGGCUCCGGUAUCUUCUUGUCCCCUCGGUAUUUGAGACACUCAGUACAUUCAGUCAAUUAGGUGGAAUGGGUGUAAUAAUAACUUGAGUUCGUUUCCUCCAUGAACACUGUGGCUUCUGAGACGUCACUGGCACAAGAGCUGGUCGGUUACUUUGGUUCAAGAGGCCAGACUCAACUGAGUAGCCCCUUGUGCCAGCCAGAUCCGUUCCCUCCCUUCCCAGCCCAUGACCUGAUCAGACAGCUUUUAAUGGGGAGUCACCCGUCAGCGUGGGGGCCCCUCUGCAUGAGUGACCCUCCCCGCUGGGGAGCAAAAACAACCGCUAGGACUGAAGGCCAGCUUCCAGCUGCCCCACUGCUGAGUUGCUUCAUUUCUCCUCCAAGGCCAUCUCCCCUUAAGGAGGAGAGGGAUAAGAAUCUGGUCCUGGCUUCCUCACAGGGGGAAAGAGGAUCAACAGAAACCCCUGGGGAAAUGUCAGAGUGUGAGCUGUGUUGUUGCCACUGCAGCUGAGGGCACUACUCCUGUUGUCGGUGGGUUGGGAAAGAGCCUGUGACACAGGAGAAAGGUCUUUGUGCUCCUCCAGCCCUAGCCCUGCAGGCCCAAUCCCAACGGAAGGGCAU